GGCAAUAUGGCCGAGUGGUCUAAGGCGCCAGAAUCAGGCAUUCGAUGUUCAGUCGGGAGCAAUCUGGUCCGAAAGGGCGAGGGUUCGAAUCCCUCUGUUGUCA
Gymnopilus junonius is the source of this 103-nucleotide non-coding RNA. Lineage: Eukaryota; Fungi; Basidiomycota; Agaricomycetes; Agaricales; Galerinaceae. The record is from the annotation of a GenBank genome assembly.